Molecule: transfer RNA, 72 nt
Filed under: Photobacterium leiognathi
Lineage: Bacteria; Pseudomonadati; Pseudomonadota; Gammaproteobacteria; Vibrionales; Vibrionaceae
Description: tRNA-Met
Rfam family: tRNA
About the family: Transfer RNA (tRNA) molecules are approximately 80 nucleotides in length. Their secondary structure includes four short double-helical elements and three loops (D, anti-codon, and T loops).
Source: RNAcentral
GGCUACGUAGCUCAGCUGGUUAGAGCACAUCACUCAUAAUGAUGGGGUCACAGGUUCGAAUCGUAGCCACCA